GCGUAGGUAACCUGCCUUGUAGCGGGGGAGUAACUAUUGGAAACGAUAGCUAAUACCGCAUAACAAUGGAUGACACAUGUCAUUUAUUUUGUAAAGGGGCGAAUUGCUCCACUACAAGAUGGACCUGCGUUGUAUUAGCUAGUAGGUGAGGUAAUGGCUCACCUAGGCGACGAUACAUAGCCGACCUGAGAGGGUGAUCGGCCACACUGGGACUGAGACACGGCCCAGACUCCUACGGGAGGCAGCAUG
Molecule: ribosomal RNA, 249 nt
Filed under: uncultured bacterium
Lineage: Bacteria
Description: partial 16S ribosomal RNA
Rfam family: Bacterial small subunit ribosomal RNA
Source: RNAcentral